UACGAGUGCCCCAAGCGUUAUCCGGAAUUAUUGGGCGUAAAGGGUGUGUAGGUGGUCUUGUUAGUCUUCUGUGAAAUUCUUCGGCUUAACCGGGGGUCCGCAGGGGAAACGGCAGGACUAGAGGAUGCGAGAGGUGUGCGGAACUCAUGGUGUAGGGGUGAAAUCCGUUGAUAUCAUGGGGAACACCGAAAGCGAAGGCAGCACACUGGCGCACUCCUGACACUGAAACACGAAAGCGUGGGUAGCGAAUGGG
Molecule: ribosomal RNA, 253 nt
Filed under: uncultured bacterium
Lineage: Bacteria
Also listed under: 1 other name
Description: partial 16S ribosomal RNA
Rfam family: Bacterial small subunit ribosomal RNA
Source: RNAcentral